GACGAACGCUGGCGGCGUGCUUAACACAUGCAAGUCGAACGGAAAGGCCCUGCUUUUGUGGGGUGCUCGAGUGGCGAACGGGUGAGUAACACGUAAGUAACCUGCCCUUGACUUUGGGAUAACUUCAGGAAACUGGGGCUACUACCGGAUAGGAGCUCCUGCUGCAUGGUGGGGGUUGGAAAGUUUCGGCGGUUGGGGAUGGACUCGCGGCUUAUCAGCUUGUUGGUGGGGUAGUGGCUUACCAAGGCUUUGACGGGUAGCCGGCCUGAGAGGGUGACCGGCCACAUUGGGACUGAGAUACGGCCCAGACUCCUACGGGAGGCAGCAGUGGGGAAUAUUGCACAAUGGGCGGAAGCCUGAUGCAGCAACGCCGCGUGCGGGAUGACGGCCUUCGGGUUGUAAACCGCUUUCGCCUGUGACGAAGCGUGAGUGACGGUAAUGGGUAAAGAAGCACCGGCUAACUACGUG
This 468-nucleotide ribosomal RNA is filed under the name uncultured bacterium. Its description in RNAcentral is "partial 16S ribosomal RNA". It matches the Rfam family "Bacterial small subunit ribosomal RNA", at positions 28 to 507 of the family's 1533-position model. The record is from RNAcentral.